UUCUCCCUACGGGGCGCAGCAGUGAGGAAUAUUGGUCAAUGGUCGGGAGACUGAACCAGCCAAGCCGCGUGAGGGAUGAAGGUACAGAGUAUCGUAAACCUCUUUUGUCAGGGAACAAAGGCGGGGACGUGUCCCCGGAUGAGUGUACCUGAAGAAAAAGCAUCGGCUAACUACGUGCCAGCAGCCGCGGUAAUACGUAGGGGGCAAGCGUUAUCCGGAAUUACUGGGUGUAAAGGGAGCGUAGACGGUAAUGCAAGUCUGGAGUGAAAGGCGGGGGCCCAACCCCCGGACUGCUCUGGAAACUG
Molecule: ribosomal RNA, 305 nt
Filed under: uncultured bacterium
Lineage: Bacteria
Description: bacterial SSU rRNA
Rfam family: Bacterial small subunit ribosomal RNA
Source: RNAcentral